GUGAACGCUGGCGGUAGGCCUAACACAUGCAAGUCGAACGGCAGCACCGUAAGAGCUUGCUCUUACGGGUGGCGAGUGGCGGACGGGUGCGGAAUACAUCGGAAUCUACUUUUUCGUGGGGGAUAACGUAGGGAAACUUACGCUAAUACCGCAUACGACCUACGGGUGAAAGCAGGGGAUCUUCGGACCUUGCGCGAUUGAAUGAGCCGAUGUCGGAUUAGCUAGUUGGGGGGGUAACGGCCCACCAAGGCGACGAUCCGUAGCUGGUCUGAGAGGAUGAUCAGCCGCACUGGAACUGAGCCACGGACCAGACUCCUAAGGGAGGCAGCAGUGGGGAAUAUUGGACAAUGGGCGCAAGCCUGAUCCAGCCAUACCGCGUGUGUGAAGAAGGCCUUCGGGUUGUAAAGCCCUUUUGUUGGGAAAGAAAAGCAGCAGGUUAAUACCCCGCUGUUCUGACGGUACCCAAAGAAUAAGCACCGGCUAACUUCGUG
Molecule: ribosomal RNA, 491 nt
Filed under: uncultured bacterium
Lineage: Bacteria
Description: partial 16S ribosomal RNA
Rfam family: Bacterial small subunit ribosomal RNA
Source: RNAcentral